This is a long non-coding RNA of Arvicola amphibius (Eurasian water vole), 2175 nucleotides long. RefSeq lists it as uncharacterized. The record is from RefSeq and is a predicted model, not a curated record. Lineage: Eukaryota; Metazoa; Chordata; Mammalia; Rodentia; Cricetidae. The transcript is spliced from 2 exons.
AAAGCGGUGGGGACCGAGCGGGCAGGAGAGGCCGCGGGGCGGAGCGCUCUGCAUCCUAGUGUCCCGCCCCGGCUACAGCGGCCUCUGCCGGAGACCCGGAGACCCGGAGCGAGGCCCAGGCCAGCCUUGGCUCAGCUUUUCUUUGCGGGUUUCCGUGGGACCAGGAGUCAGAGGAAGGUGCGGGAACUUGCUUGCCUCUUUAUGAUCUUCCAAGUCGAAUGCACGGUGUUUGCCUGGCGCCGGGUACUUCUGAUCAAAUCAAGCGUGUGGAUGGAGUUAAAUCUUCCCGUCAUCUGAUGAAAUGGAUACUGUUGUCUUCACUUCGCAGCUGAGCAAACUGAGGCCCAGGAAAGUCAAGCAACUAACUGUCCAAGGCACAAAGCUUUUGAUUCGUGGGUUUGAGAUUUGGACCUAAGUGUGGCAAUAGGGACACAGGAGACAGGCGUCAAGGUUACCAUGAAAGAAGCCAGCUGGCAGACAGACUGUAAAGUCUUCCCCACCAGGGUUUCAUGCAACAUAGCAGAGAGGGUCAGGACUAUGGAAACAACCCAUAAAGGCUCACUACCCUAGUGGCUGGAGGCUGUUAAGAGUCUCCACCCCCUUUUCCACCUCUCUAAACUAUUCAGUCCUCGGAGAAGUUCCCCUUCUUAGUAAACUGUCUCUGCUUCUAACACUGUCCCUGUGGCCCUGUACCCUUUGUCCUGAGACAUGAGACCCUAGAAUCCCAGCUGGUGACCUCCGAACUCAUCAAUAACCUAAGUGCUCCAGAGACAGGUGCUGUGGGAUAUUUGUGCACUGUGUGAAGACGUGUUGCUGUGAUUGGUGUAAUAAGAAAGCCAAAUGGCCAAUAGCUAGGCAGGAGAGAUUAGGCGGGACUUCCAGGUGAAGAGAGGAAGCCAGAGGGACCAAUCUAGGUGCACAAGCGAUGCCAGCCAAUAGAGAACAAGUUGGACAUAAGGAACAGAGGAAAGAUAACGGAGUUAAAGCAACUGAGUCAUGUGAUAGAACGUAGGUUAAUAGAAAUAGGUUAAGUUAUAAGAGCUACUUAGAAAAAAAAGCCUAGAUUAAGGUCAAGCUUUCAUAAUUAAAAGUCCCCUUGUCGUUAUUUGUGGGCUGCAGUCCAGAUGAGAAAGCUUACUACAUCCAAGCCACUACCUAUGAUGCCUGGGCAAAGUACUGUAUUUCAGUACUUUGCUUUUUUUUUCUUUUGCUGUUGGGACUAUUGAACCCUGGAUUGAACCUCAUGCUAGGCAAACUGUAUCACUGAGCUACCUCUCCAGCCCCUUUGUUGCUUUUCAUGCUUAUGACAGCGACCACCAUAUGUUAAUCCUUCAUUAUCGAUACUUGGAGGACUGGGGGAGAGAUAGCUCCUCAUUGCAAUUUCCAGACCUGAUAUGUAGUCUUCCAUCACCCAUGGGUUCUGCCAAUUCUGAGGUUCUCUAAUCCAUCUAUGUCCAGGGGACUUUCCCCACGGCCACCCCUGAUGCACUGUCCACUCCAGCCUUUCUUCUAGGCUCGGAAAGGUCAGCUUUUCCCGACCUCACCACUGGAGAGACGUUCCCUCGGAAUCAGCGGUCCAGAAAGUACAUCGCAGGGCUCGCAGGAAAGUUCAAUGUCUGUGGUGAGACUUUCCCGACUCAGGCUUCAGACUUGCUCAUCCACACCAUGAUAGGUGUACAUGGUCGAAGAGGCCAUUAAAAGAGGCCUGGCUAGCUGGGAGGACAAUAGAGAAGAGUCUCGUAAGCAAAAGGAGGGAUUCUAGAGCCCUGAAAAGCAAUCCCUUCUCAGGGAAGACAGGAAGGCACACUGAGCAACUGCAAAAGAAUCUGCGGUGGUUCUGGAGUUUGGGGGCGGCCGCGUUCCAGGCGCUGUACAGUUAUGACUUCCGCCCCUGCCCCUUGACAACGUGAGUACUUGAGAGUGGAAAGGGCUGAUAUAAGAUGAAAGCGCUUGGCUCAUUAAGCUCUGCCAUGCUUGGAUGCUGAGGACCUAGCCCAGAGCCUCGAGAGUAUAAGCUUAAAGCGAGCUGAGCUUGUAACUCAUUACCCAUCACUCUGCAGGGCUCAGGGGACACUGCCCGAGACAACUGCCGAGCAGAAGAGUGGCUCGGGGCUUGAGGAUGCUUCUUGCCCUCUCCCUUGGAAAAAUAAAAUAAAGACAAAGCCUAGGAGGUUA